GCCCUUGUGGCGUAAUGGCUAACGCGCCUGACUUCUAAGCAAACCGUGUUACCAAAAACAUCGGUUGUAGGGUAUCAGAAGAUUGCAGGUUAGCCCUGCCUCGGGCU
RNAcentral lists this transfer RNA (107 nucleotides) under Fusarium graminearum. RNAcentral describes it as "tRNA-Arg". It matches the Rfam family "tRNA". Rfam says of the family: Transfer RNA (tRNA) molecules are approximately 80 nucleotides in length. Their secondary structure includes four short double-helical elements and three loops (D, anti-codon, and T loops). RNAcentral also lists the same sequence under 1 other name. Lineage: Eukaryota; Fungi; Ascomycota; Sordariomycetes; Hypocreales; Nectriaceae. The record is from RNAcentral.